RNAcentral lists this ribosomal RNA (253 nucleotides) under uncultured bacterium. RNAcentral's name for it is "partial 16S ribosomal RNA". It matches the Rfam family "Bacterial small subunit ribosomal RNA", at positions 524 to 776 of the family's 1533-position model. The record is from RNAcentral.
GACGGGGGAUGCAAGUGUUAUCCGGAAUCACUGGGCGUAAAGCGUCUGCAGGUGGUUUCCUAAGUCCACCGUUAAACCUUGAGGCUCAACCUCAAAUCUGCAUUGGAAACUAGGAGACUUGAGUAUAGUAGGGGUAGAGGGAAUUUCCAGUGGAGCGGUGAAAUGCGUAGAUAUUGGAAAGAACACCGAUGGCGAAGGCACUCUACUGGGCUAUUACUGACACUCAGAGACGAAAGCUAGGGGAGCAAAUGGG